RNAcentral lists this ribosomal RNA (448 nucleotides) under uncultured bacterium. RNAcentral's name for it is "partial 16S ribosomal RNA". It matches the Rfam family "Bacterial small subunit ribosomal RNA", at positions 29 to 523 of the family's 1533-position model. The record is from RNAcentral.
AACGAACGCUGGCGGCAUGCCUAACACAUGCAAGUCGAACGAGAUCUUCGGGUCUAGUGGCGCACGGGUGCGUAACGCGUGGGAAUCUGCCCUUUGGUUCGGAAUAACAGUUGGAAACGACUGCUAAUACCGGAUGAUGACGAAAGUCCAAAGAUUUAUCGCCAGAGGAUGAGCCCGCGUAGGAUUAGCUAGUUGGUGUGGUAAAGGCGAGCAAAGGCGACGAUCCUUGGUUGGUCUGAGAGGAUGAUCAGCCACACUGGAACUGAGACACGGCCCAGACUCCUACGGGAGGCAGCAGUGGGAGUAUUGGACGAUGGGCGAAAGCCUGAUCCAGCAAUGCCGCGUGAGUGAUGAAGGCCUUAGGGUUGUAAAGCUCUUUUACCUGGGAUGAUAAUGACAGUACCGGGAGAAUAAGCUCCGGCUAACUCCGUGCCAGCCGCCGCGGUAA